This 453-nucleotide ribosomal RNA is filed under the name uncultured Paraprevotella sp. RNAcentral describes it as "partial 16S ribosomal RNA". It matches the Rfam family "Bacterial small subunit ribosomal RNA", at positions 341 to 792 of the family's 1533-position model. The record is from RNAcentral. Lineage: Bacteria; Pseudomonadati; Bacteroidota; Bacteroidia; Bacteroidales; Prevotellaceae.
ACGGAAGGCAGCAGUGGGGAAUAUUGGUCAAUGGGCGAGAGCCUGAACCAGCCAAGUAGCGUGAGGGAUGACUGCCCUAUGGGUUGUAAACCUCUUUUGUUCGGGAAUAAAGGACCCUACGCGUAGGGUUUUGCAUGUACCGUUCGAAUAAGCAUCGGCUAAUUCCGUGCCAGCAGCCGCGGUAAUACGGAAGAUGCGAGCGUUAUCCGGAUUUAUUGGGUUUAAAGGGAGCGUAGGCGGUCCUUUAAGUCAGCGGUCAAAUGUCAGCGCCCAACGCUGGCCUGCCGUUGAUACUGGAGGACUUGAAUACACACAAGGAAGGUGGAAUUCGUCGUGUAGCGGUGAAAUGCUUAGAUAUGACGAAGAACUCCGAUUGCGAAGGCAGCCUUCUGGAGUGCGAUUGACGCUGAGGCUCGAAAGCGCGGGUAUCAAACAGGAUUAGAUACCCUGGUA